GGAUGAUUAUUGUAAAUGUUCUUUUCCCUCCCAAUUGAUUUUUUUUCCAUUCCUCUUAGCAGAUACAAUGAAACAUAAAAUGAAAACUUAAAACAACAGUGAUUUUAAAGGUGGCAGCACAGCCCUGGUCAGAAGGGAAGCACUGCAGUUACUUGUUUGACUGAAACAAAUUCAAAGUCAACUUGACGCCAGGAUUUAAUAAUAUCGACUGGCUUUUCAACAGUUCAGCAGACACCACUCACGACAAACAAGCCAAACUCAAAUCUGUCACAGCCCAUACUAAAUCAAAUCGCCCACUGACACCUGUCUUCUCCCUGUAACGAGUAUAUAUAAGGUCAAGCAAUAACUUUUUCAUUUCAACAGGUAACUUCAAAGCAGCUUCUAUGGAAAAAAAACGCACAUUUGAAUGGCUGAUCUUUUUCUUUCAAACUAUUUUUCCCUCUUUUUUUUCUCCCAAAUUUGGAAUGGUACCACAGGGACAAACUGCGCAUGUGCUUGACUGACGUCAACUGAAGUGUGUGCACAUUUUCAAUGUGCUCACCCACGAACCAGUGACUACUGUCCACACCAAAGACCAUUCACUUCUAUGGGAGAACCAGCAUCAGUUAAUUGAAGAAAGGAAUGCUAAUGGGGUAGUGGACCACAAAGCCGGGUGCCUGGUGGAAAGCUCAGGCGAGUUCCCUCCACUGCCUCCCUGCCACUGAUGAAAAAGCGGAGAUUUCCGAUUCUGUAAGGCUUUUCGGUUGAAGGCAUUUUUAAUAAACCGAGAUAACUUAA
Long non-coding RNA from Anguilla rostrata (American eel), 777 nucleotides. RefSeq lists it as uncharacterized. The transcript has 2 exons. The record is from RefSeq and is a predicted model, not a curated record. Lineage: Eukaryota; Metazoa; Chordata; Actinopteri; Anguilliformes; Anguillidae.